RNAcentral lists this ribosomal RNA (253 nucleotides) under uncultured bacterium. RNAcentral describes it as "partial 16S ribosomal RNA". It matches the Rfam family "Bacterial small subunit ribosomal RNA", at positions 524 to 776 of the family's 1533-position model. The record is from RNAcentral.
UACGUAGGGUGCGAGCGUUAAUCGGAAUUACUGGGCGUAAAGGGUGCGCAGGCGGUCCUGCAAGUCAGGCGUGAAAUCCCCGGGCUUAACCUGGGAAUGGCACUUGAAACUACGGGACUGGAGUAUGGCAGAGGGAGGUGGAAUUCCACGUGUAGCGGUGAAAUGCGUAGAUAUCGGGAGGAACAUCAGUGGCGAAGGCGGCUGCCUGGCCCAAUACUGACACUCAGGUGCGACAGCGUGGGGAGCAAACAGG